AUCUAUUCCUGUAUUGACCUGAGCACGCCCAAUCUCAUAUGAUAUUGGAAGCUCAGCAGGCCUUGGCUUAGUUAGUAGUUGGAUGAGAGAAUAUCCCAAUGGGGGUAAUAAGCUGGACCAUAAU
Molecule: ribosomal RNA, 124 nt
Filed under: Peromyscus maniculatus bairdii (prairie deer mouse)
Lineage: Eukaryota; Metazoa; Chordata; Mammalia; Rodentia; Cricetidae
Source: RNAcentral